This 1260-nucleotide ribosomal RNA is filed under the name metagenome. RNAcentral's name for it is "bacterial LSU rRNA". It matches the Rfam family "Bacterial large subunit ribosomal RNA", at positions 1674 to 2925 of the family's 2925-position model. The record is from RNAcentral.
CCUUAUUCUAAGGCGCUUGAGAGAACUCAGGAGAAGGAACUCGGCAAAUUGACACCGUAACUUCGGAAGAAGGUGUGCCUUUAGUAGGUGAACCUGUACAAGGGGAGCCCAAUGAGGUUGCAAAAAAUCGGUGGCUGCGACUGUUUAAUAAAAACACAGCACUCUGCAAACACGAAAGUGGACGUAUAGGGUGUGACGCCUGCCCGGUGCUGGAAGAUUAAAUGAUGGGGUGCAAGCUCUUGAUUGAAGUCCCAGUAAACGGCGGCCGUAACGAUAACGGUCCUAAGGUAGCGAAAUUCCUUGUCGGGUAAGUUCCGACCUGCACGAAUGGCGUAACGAUGGCCACACUGUCUCCUCCUGAGACUCAGCGAAGUUGAAAUGUUUGUGAUGAUGCAAUCUCCCCGCGGAAAGACGGAAAGACCCCAUGAACCUUUACUGUAGCUUUGUAUUGGACUUUGAACAGAUCUGUGUAGGAUAGGUGGGAGGCUUUGAAGUGUGGUCGCUAGAUCGCAUGGAGCCAACGUUGAAAUACCACCCUGGUGUGUUUGAGGUUCUAACCUAGGCCCGUAAUCCGGGUCGGGGACAGUGCAUGGUAGGCAGUUUGACUGGGGCGGUCUCCUCCCAAAGCGUAACGGAGGAGUUCGAAGGUACGCUAGGUACGGUCGGACAUCGUGCUAAUAGUGCAAUGGCAUAAGCGUGCUUAACUGCGAGACUGACAAGUCGAGCAGAUGCGAAAGCAGGACAUAGUGAUCCGGUGGUUCUGUAUGGAAGGGCCAUCGCUCAACGGAUAAAAGGUACUCUGGGGAUAACAGGCUGAUACCGCCCAAGAGUUCAUAUCGACGGCGGUGUUUGGCACCUCGAUGUCGGCUCAUCUCAUCCUGGGGCUGUAGCCGGUCCCAAGGGUAUGGCUGUUCGCCAUUUAAAGAGGUACGUGAGCUGGGUUUAAAACGUCGUGAGACAGUUUGGUCCCUAUCUUCCGUGGGCGCUGCAGAUUUGAGGAAGCCUGCUCCUAGUACGAGAGGACCGGAGUGGACACACCUCUGGUGUAUCGGUUGUCACGCCAGUGGCAUUGCCGAGUAGCUAUGUGUGGAAGAGAUAACCGCUGAAAGCAUCUAAGCGGGAAACUCGUUUCAAGAUGAGAUCUGCCGGGGCCUUGAGCCCCCUAAAGAGUCGUUCAAGACCAGGACGUUGAUAGGUCGGGUGUGGAAGCGCAGUAAUGCGUUAAGCUAACCGAUACUAAUUGCUCGUGCGGCUUGACCA